CUGCACUAUACGGGGCGUUAGCGGUGCCUUGUAGCCUGCAAUCCGCUACAGCAGGGUAGAAUCCCCAGCAGAGGCUAUAAAUGGUUUGAGUCUGAUCUUAGCAAGUGGUGAUGACGAAAGGGUCUUGCACAAUAUAAACCUAUGAACCAUGUCAGGUCCGGAAGGAAGCAGCAUUAAGUAGUCAUUUGUAUGUGUUGCGAGGGUGCCUUUUCUGAGCAAACUACUAGGAUACGUCAAGGUGUUUCUAGUCGAAGCUGGGUGUGCAU
This 266-nucleotide signal recognition particle RNA is filed under the name Tissierellia bacterium. Its description in RNAcentral is "signal recognition particle sRNA large type". It matches the Rfam family "Bacterial large signal recognition particle RNA". From Rfam's summary of the family: The signal recognition particle (SRP) is a universally conserved ribonucleoprotein involved in the co-translational targeting of proteins to membranes. The record is from RNAcentral. Lineage: Bacteria; Bacillati; Bacillota; Tissierellia.